AGAAUUGUUCUCAUGCAUGAAAAGCUUAUGGAUGUGAUCGAUAAGCCUGCAAAGAUAAUCCCCCAGAGAAUGAUGUUCAAGGCAACAAGGUUUAUCAUAAAUAAUUGGAAGAAAAACUGUUAGGAGUAUCUUGCAACUCUAAAGGACAAGAAACAAGGUGAGACAUUAAAGAAAAAUAUUUUCAAGGUUUCUUUAGCUACUACUCAUUCUUCACUGUGGGUAUUAGAUAUUGGCAGUGGUUAUAACAUUUGCAAUAUGUUGCAAGGGUGAAGAUAAGUAGAAAGUUGAAGAAAGGAGAAAUUAAUCUACAAGUUCGAAAUGUUGCAAAAGUUGCGGCCGUAGCUGUAGGAUCAAUUUCUUUAAUAAUACCUACGGGCANNN
Molecule: long non-coding RNA, 381 nt
Filed under: Nicotiana benthamiana
Lineage: Eukaryota; Viridiplantae; Streptophyta; Magnoliopsida; Solanales; Solanaceae
Description: long non-coding RNA (NBEN_LNC033187)
Source: RNAcentral